Molecule: ribosomal RNA, 539 nt
Filed under: uncultured Syntrophaceae bacterium
Lineage: Bacteria; Pseudomonadati; Thermodesulfobacteriota; Syntrophia; Syntrophales; Syntrophaceae
Description: bacterial SSU rRNA
Rfam family: Bacterial small subunit ribosomal RNA
Source: RNAcentral
AGAGUUUGAUCCUGGCUCAGAACAAACGCUGGCGGCGUGCCUAACACAUGCAAGUCGUACGAGAAAGUCGGCUUCGGCCGAUGAGUACAGUGGCGCACGGGUGAGUAACGCGUGGGUAAUCUACCCCUCGGUCAGGAAUAACCCGCCGAAAGGCGGGCUAAUACCCGAUAAUACUGACGCUCUGCGGAGUGUCUUUCAAAGAAGGCCUCUGUUUACAAGCUUUCGCCGGAGGAUGAGCCCGCGUACCAUUAGCUAGUUGGCAGGGUAAUGGCCUACCAAGGCAACGAUGGUUAGCUGGUCUGAGAGGAUGGCCAGCCACACUGGAACUGAGACACGGUCCAGACUCCUACGGGAGGCAGCAGUGAGGAAUCUUGCGCAAUGGGGGAAACCCUGACGCAGCAACGCCGCGUGAGUGAGGAAGGCCUUCGGGUCGUAAAGCUCUGUCAGAUGGGAAGAAAUGGGUGGGGGCUAAUAUCGUCCAUCCUUGACGGUACCAUCAGAGGAAGCACCGGCUAACUCCGUGCCAGCAGCCGCGGUAA